GGGGAUGUAGCUCAGUUGGUUAGAGCGCCGCCCUGUCAAGGCGGAGGUCGCGAGUUCGAGUCUCGUCAUUCCCG
Molecule: transfer RNA, 74 nt
Filed under: Solirubrobacterales bacterium
Lineage: Bacteria; Bacillati; Actinomycetota; Thermoleophilia; Solirubrobacterales
Also listed under: 1 other name
Description: tRNA-Asp
Rfam family: tRNA
About the family: Transfer RNA (tRNA) molecules are approximately 80 nucleotides in length.
Source: RNAcentral